CUGGGGCACUGACUGUAUGGUGUCCAUCGCUUUUCUAAUUGGGGAAGAAGCCAAUUCCGAAUACCCGGGAGAGGUUAAAUAACAAGCAGAGGCCAGAGCUCAGAAACCUCUCCCACCUAGCCCCAUCCAGCCUCCCUCUCACCGCUCGCUUCAGUUUAAUGCUGCCUUAGAGAUUGGCAGUCUGCCCUCAGAACUCCCUGACCUACGCAGGGAGCCUUGGGAGGGUGGUUGGAUCCCACCCAGAACAUUCCUUGUGUGUUUCCACCCAGUUGCUGUGUACCCGGUGAAGUACCCUGCUGGACAUGGUCACCCGGAGCCGAAAUUUCAGCCAGGCACAGGGAUGGGAGUGGCCUAGUGUAGACCCAAGAGAUAUGCUGCUGCUUUCUCCUCUGCCUGCUGGUAGCAGGGAUUCAUUAGUGAUGCGGAGGCGCUGAUGACUCUUUAAAGGCUCCGCUGUACCCACUCCAAACCCAAGCCCCAGCCUGGGUGCAAAGGAAACUCCUUUCUUCUGCCCGAAUUUUUGCCACCAAGCAGCGUUGCCUCCUCCUCAGUGCUCUUGCUAAAAUGAAGAGAUUCUGAGGAGAAGGCGAGCUUCAAGUGGAGGCCACCUCAACGUGAAGGAGUUUAUCGUGUCUCUCUUCUGAGGGCCACAGUCGUCCUGGGAAACACUGAAGAGGAAUCGGAGUUCUCUGAGAUGGUAUGAGUGUAAGCAUUGGACGCUUUGCUUCCCAGGACGCCUGUAGCCCUCGGAAAAUGCAAUAAGAAACAUUCAGAACGGAGCAUGGAAAGCAGAUGGAUACCCAAGAGCCGAUGCAUCAAGGGGCUUCCGCAUUAUUCUCAACUGUUUUUAUUACGACAGUUUGUUAACCGUUUCUGAGAGCUAAAGUUCGAAUGGGAACUGUGGAAAGGAACUGGCCUGCCAAAUGCCUAGCUGUGUCCCUAAUGUCACAAAAGUGGGGAUGCAAGUGUACAUUUUUCUGUCUAUAGAGAGCAAGCCCACAUGAAAAAAGGAGAAGUCUCCUUCACAGUCAAACGCGUACCUUAUGUACUGUUCGGGUGGAUGUUCUUACUGAAUAAAUUUUACGUAGCAACCUUCCACUAAAGCAAAUAAUAAAUCACUCCCCAAAGCUCCAGGCAUCAGGUUCUAUCUGGGCACUAAAAGUCUGAGAAUGUCUUGACAGCGUUUUGUGAAAUCAUAAUUGCUUAGGGAAAGCGAUUCUGGAUGUCUUAAAAUGUACAGAAUUAAAGUGAAGCUGUUCCUUUGAGGAAAAUUAUCCUAA
Molecule: non-coding RNA, 1280 nt
Organism: Rattus norvegicus (Norway rat)
Lineage: Eukaryota; Metazoa; Chordata; Mammalia; Rodentia; Muridae
Source: RefSeq, a predicted model, not a curated record